AAAAAUAAGCUAAAUUAAGCUUUUGGGUUCAUACCCCAAAUAUAAAGGAAUCCC
This 54-nucleotide transfer RNA is filed under the name Cydia pomonella (codling moth). RNAcentral describes it as "partial tRNA-Met". The record is from RNAcentral. Lineage: Eukaryota; Metazoa; Arthropoda; Insecta; Lepidoptera; Tortricidae.